CUCCACUUGCAUAGUGUAUUCAUCUUUUUCUUACCAUCUUGACUUAAUAAAUUUCUCAUGAUAUCCCCCACUCAGCUAAUCUCAGGGCCUCACUGCAUUUUGGCUUCUUAUCUAUGAUUCACAAUGGAAACGCGUAGACAAGCCUCCACAAGGUGUCCUGUUACCAUCACCUUUUUUGACUUAGGUGAUAUGACUGCAUCCCCAACACCCCAAAUUCAUUGUAAACAUGUAUAAAUGCAGCAGUUGCUUUAAUAGAAACAACAUUCACAUUAUUUGUCACCAAGAAAGAGUGCUAUCAGAAUGGCGAGCAACCUCCGCUUACUUGUGAUUUUAUUGGGUUUUUCUUACCUUAUCUGUGUGAAUGCUGUCCCAGUUGCAAGAACCAGAAGGAUGCAUGGAUAUCAUCAAGGUCAUCAAGUUUCAGAGGUUUCCUUCCUGAACAACAUGGAGAAAAUUUGGGAGGAACAAAACAUUAGAGCAAGGAUGGAUGCGGAGCUGAAUGAUUAUCCAGGAUCAGGGGCUAACAACCGCCACACUCCAACCCCCCACUAGGAAGAGGUUUAUGGAUUCUUAGUUUUUCUAGAUAGUAAUUAUGUUUCUGGGUAAUCUGGUAUCAUGUUAAGAAUGGUCAUAAACAUGAUUUUGCACCUUAGUUGUUCGUAUUUAGGAGUUUAGAGUUCAACUAUUCGUUUCCACCAUAGCUGUUUGUUAUGUUAUGGAGGAAUCCAAGAUUCCAAAUCAAAUCAUGUUUGUUUGUGUAUCCUGUCCUACAUCUACAUCCAUGAUGGGGUUCCGUGUUGUCCUGAGAUAGUUCCUGUUUGAUGCAGAACCAGCAGGAUCAGAAGCACCCCUUAUUCUACAGUGGUUAAUUUGCCAUGUAACUUUCUUGUAUGGGUAAAACCCCUUUGUUCUUGGUAUUUCUUGAUUAUGAAGUAAAUUUCAAACUUCUAGUCGGUUUUGGUUUCAAGUUUUAGAAUCCUACCUUCUAUCUUUUCUGUGAUAAGUCUUAUUUUUCUUGUGUUGCAAGUUUGCAUGCAUGCAUAUACAGCUUUCUUUCUUGGUAUGCUUUGUGGCUGUUGCAACUGCUAAAGAUGUGUUCCCACCCUUAGGAUCUGCCAUGGAUUACUCAAAAAAGAAAGGAAAACAGGGAAAGAGAAAAAAGAACUCUGCCUUAAUUGCUAAGUUUCUUGGACACGGCAAAAUUCUGGUGGCCUUUAACUAGGAAUUGCUUGUUUCUUGCUUGACUUGGCUUUGUUUUGGAAAGAGUGUGGAGAAAUAAAAUAAAGCAGUUCCUUUCCGCAGGUAGGUGUUGGACAACCAAACUAAUCUUAGUUUUUUUAAAUCUAUUGUUCAUUGACACAAGAUCCUGUUAGGUGAACCGCUUAAAAGUUUUUGUAAAUAUCUCAAACAUAGUUUAUGUUGAGUGGAGGAAGUGGAUUGUUAGGUAGCAGCAACCACUUUGUUACAAAUUUCCACUUUGGAGCCUUGGGGUCUAUUGGAAGUCCCAUGGGCCAUGGGAUGAUAAUAUUGUUUUGUUUUCUACUUUUCUAUAGCAUCUGCAGGCACCCAUCUGUUAGUAUAAGAGAAAAAAGAACUUGGGAAGCACAUUCUUUGAUGAAACACACAACAAACACCCAUUUCAAAUGCUAUUUUAAACAAGGUCUAGCAUGACUUGGAGAGGCAGAAAAUUUGGCUACACAAAUUUGAAAAAACUCACCCUAUCAAAAGAAAUUGGAAUCUGAUUUGGACACCACCGACUACAGUUUCGGUGCAUGAAGCUUUGUUUCAAGUAGGCUCUUUCAAAAGCAAAGGCUGUCCAAACGAGUUACCAAGGAAUUUUUGUGGACAUGGGUUGUAAACUUUCUCAUCCCAAAGAAUCUGAUUUGCUUGGCCUAGUAUCAUGUUAUUCAUCACAACAAAAUCCCAAAGAAGCUUUUCUUCUAUGUUAAUUCUGAUCCUCAAAACAUUUCCAACAGUGCAUGUUUGGCUUGGAAGUUACAACAGACUGCAAAUUGUUUAAAACUUUCUUGUCUUGAAGAUCUACCUGUUUUAUUGUUCUGGAGGUAUAGCACAGGUACCAUACCUCCAACAGAGUAAACCAAUUACUUGUAGCCUCAUCAUAAAAGGUUUCACAGCUGUGUCAUGACUUAAGUUCACCUUCAUGCUUGGGUGCAUGAUUUUUUUACUUUUAUCUAUUUUGACAGAAUUGUUGGGUUAUUCAGUUUGUUGGAAUGAUGGCUUCCUCCCCAAAUGCCUCAACUCAUUGAACUUAAUUCCAAUUUUAUAAACAAGGAUUGGAUUUCUCUUGAUAUGGUAAUAUACCAAUAUCGAUAACUUAAUGGUUGAAAUAGUAAAAGCGUACCUAACAUUAAUAUCAGUUUAGACCCAAAAAUUCCGAAACUUAUAGCAUAUGGUAGAUUACCAUGGCUGCUAAAGCUCAAGUUUGAUAUCUUUAUUACAAAGUUUCCUCAAUGCAGCAUACCAAAUCAAUGUUUGGUACUAAGAUGGCAGCACUCCAGGAAUUACUCAAUGAGAUAUAAUUUUUCUGCAUCAUAACCACAACUUCAAACCUUAAUGACAUGAUGAUAGAAUAGACAUGCCUGACCUUUAUGAUCUUUUGUUGGGCAUUUGCCCUGUUUUCUUUUAAAUUCUGGUAAUAGUAGAAUCCAUUGAAAGAAGUAGCAAAAUCUAGAAGGGAGAGAUGCAUGGUUUAGUUGUUUGAUUGUUAUCAAUUAUAUGUCCAUUGAAAGUGUAGUUGGUUGAGUGAGAAAGGAAAAAAGAAAAUGUCUUAAAAAAAAAAGCCUCAUUUCUCAAAAAGCAUAUCCUGGAUCAAUGUUUCUCAUAAUGCAUAAGGGAUAUGGGUGUAACAGAUUUUUCCUUUUUCCUUUUGUCUUUUUUUUUUUGGGUAAGAAGUAAACAAUCAACAUUGACAUCAGUAUCUCUAGUUUGUUAUGAUACAUGAAGUCAUUCAUUCACCAAAACUCAACUUAUAUAAUCUUGUUUUCUUCUUUCUGAAGUCGUAAGUCAUAGCCCACUUACAAAGUGGGCAACUUGACCUACUUUCUUAAUGCCAUUUGAAAGUCUAGAAGGCGGCUUAACCUACUGACUGUAAUUGGCAAUAUUUCACAAAAAUGAAUACCCUUAAAAGUUUGAUACCAAACAGAAAACACAGAAGCGGAAUUUUGUGUUUAUUUUAGUGAUGUUGAAAGGCUUCAAGUGUCUUUAUUAAUAUUGUUAGGUAAGUUCCUAUGUAGAUGUAUGGUUAGCCCAAAAGAUGGAAAUAAAUAUGGCAACCACUCCACAUACUCAAAAGGAAAAUGAAGAAUACCUUGGGAACAGGAUGCUAGUCAAUUUUAAUAAAAUCAGCUUAGGGACCCCCUCUCAUUGCUAGAAUUUAGCCUCUACUGUUUGUAAUGGUGGGGCUAUCUAAUUAAUGAAGCAAUGGGGAUAUGAAUAAGUGAGAAAACAGCUCUCUUCACCACUUCUGAGACAAUUUAAUUUUGCUGCCUUCAUUAAUGUUUUUCCUUUCACUCGUUAUAUUUUCUUUCCCUUUUUUAAGCUAAAGAACAAAAAAGGAAAACAAAGAGCUGAUUAUGCAGUGGGGCAUGGGAGAAAGGCAGAACCACCCUCAUUGCAAAUAAUCUCAUGAAUAUGUACUAUCCCCAAUUUUUUUACAGUAUUGGGUGAAAAGUAUUCAGUAGUGAUUCAUUGAAGCAGUUACUCAGCUUGAAGGGUCCUUUUCUGGGCAGAAGCAACUCCACCUAAGACUCAUGGGGGAUUGGUAUCUCUGGACUUAUCCUGUACAUCAUCUAGAGCCAUUGCAGGGAAAAGGAUGGGAAAGGAUAAAUGUCAGAAACCAAUGGUGACAAGGAAGGUGUGCUUGUAUAGGAAUAAUAUCUUUUGGCAUCUUUCUCAUUCUAUUCUUACUCAUACUACAGAGAGGAUCAUGUGAGAGGUGAUCAUCCAAAUAAGAGCUGGAAAUUACUUUGUUCUUCUAAUUCAUUAAUUUGCUGAGGAAUCUGUUAAGCAAAAGCUUGCAUAUAUUUCGAGAAGUGCAGAAGAUGCACUGCUUACAUAUUGAGCAGAAGAAGUUCAUAACACUGUAUAUGUAUGACUUUUUCUUAAUUAUGUAGAUACGUUUUAAAG
Vitis riparia (riverbank grape) is the source of this 4146-nucleotide RNA transcript. RefSeq lists it as uncharacterized. The transcript has 4 exons. Lineage: Eukaryota; Viridiplantae; Streptophyta; Magnoliopsida; Vitales; Vitaceae. The record is from RefSeq and is a predicted model, not a curated record.